AAGCGGAGGCCUUCGUCAGAAUAUUCUGCGUUGUACCCCCUGGUGCAACUGCCAAAGACUUUCAUACCAGGAAAUUGGAAGAGCAACGUGCAUUGUGCCUGAUCUUACCAGCAGAGGGUGGAUUGGGUUUGAAACUGCCUGUGACCAUCUCUCCCAGACUGGAGGAGGAAUUCCCGCUGGUCUUACUGCGAACAGCAACAAAGACAGAAGGGAAGAGAGUGAGGAAGGGAGCACCGUUAACAAGGUGGAUCCAGGUAGAAGCCAGGCGGGGUGACUUCUCUCUCCUUCGCU
Molecule: long non-coding RNA, 291 nt
Organism: Engraulis encrasicolus (European anchovy)
Lineage: Eukaryota; Metazoa; Chordata; Actinopteri; Clupeiformes; Engraulidae
Exons: 3
Source: RefSeq, a predicted model, not a curated record